GAACUGAAGAGUUUGAUCAUGGCUCAGAUUGAACGCUGGCGGCAGGCCUAACACAUGCAAGUCGAGCGGAUGAAGGGAGCUUGCUCUCUGAUUCAGCGGCGGACGGGUGAGUAAUGCCUAGGAAUCUGCCUGAUAGUGGGGGACAACGUUUCGAAAGGAACGCUAAUACCGCAUACGUCCUACGGGAGAAAGCAGGGGACCUUCGGGCCUUGCGCUAUCAGAUGAGCCUAGGUCGGAUUAGCUAGUUGGUGAGGUAACGGCUCACCAAGGCGACGAUCCGUAACUGGUCUGAGAGGAUGAUCAGUCACACUGGAACUGAGACACGGUCCAGACUCCUACGGGAGGCAGCAGUGGGGAAUAUUGGACAAUGGGCGAAAGCCUGAUCCAGCCAUGCCGCGUGUGUGAAGAAGGUCUUCGGAUUGUAAAGCACUUUAAGUUGGGAGGAAGGGCAUUAACCUAAUACGUUAGUGUUUUGACGUUACCGACAGAAUAAGCACCGGCUAACUUCGUGCCAGCAGCCGCGGUAAUACGAAGGG
RNAcentral lists this ribosomal RNA (536 nucleotides) under [Pseudomonas] sp. BICA1-14. Its description in RNAcentral is "bacterial SSU rRNA". It matches the Rfam family "Bacterial small subunit ribosomal RNA", at positions 1 to 532 of the family's 1533-position model. Lineage: Bacteria; Pseudomonadati; Pseudomonadota; Gammaproteobacteria; Pseudomonadales; Pseudomonadaceae. The record is from RNAcentral.